This 237-nucleotide ribosomal RNA is filed under the name uncultured bacterium. Its description in RNAcentral is "partial 16S ribosomal RNA". It matches the Rfam family "Bacterial small subunit ribosomal RNA", at positions 100 to 334 of the family's 1533-position model. The record is from RNAcentral.
CCGGCACGGGUGAGUAACACGUACCCAACCUGCCGUCUACUCUUGGACAGCCUUCUGAAAGGAAGAUUAAUACAAGAUGGCAUCAUGAGUCCACAUGUUCACAUGAUUAAAGGUAUUCCGGUAGACGAUGGGGAUGCGUUCCAUUAGAUAGUAGGCGGGGUAACGGCCCACCUAGUCUUCGAUGGAUAGGGGUUCUGAGAGGAAGGUCCCCCACAUUGGAACUGAGACACGGUCCAA